RNAcentral lists this ribosomal RNA (207 nucleotides) under uncultured bacterium. RNAcentral's name for it is "partial 16S ribosomal RNA". It matches the Rfam family "Bacterial small subunit ribosomal RNA", at positions 568 to 774 of the family's 1533-position model. The record is from RNAcentral.
CGCGUAGGCGGCUUUUUAAGUCUGGAGUGAAAGUCCUGCUUUCAAGGUGGGAAUUGCUUUGGAUACUGGAGAGCUUGAGUGCGGAAGAGGUAAGUGGAAUUCCCAGUGUAGCGGUGAAAUGCGUAGAGAUUGGGAGGAACACCAGUGGCGAAGGCGACUUACUGGGCCGUAACUGACGCUGAGGCGCGAAAGCGUGGGGAGCAAACA